Mytilus californianus (California mussel) is the source of this 1258-nucleotide long non-coding RNA. RefSeq lists it as uncharacterized. Lineage: Eukaryota; Metazoa; Mollusca; Bivalvia; Mytilida; Mytilidae. The record is from RefSeq and is a predicted model, not a curated record. The transcript has 2 exons.
UAAAAUGCUCUGCUGGGGCGCAGCUUGAUACGACCGCAGAGGUCGAACCCUGAACAGUUGGGGCAAGUAUGGACACAACAUUCAAGCUUGAUACAGCACUGAAUUUGGAUUGUAAUUAAAUAUUUGACACAGCAUAGGUUUCUGACACAGAAUGAAUGUGGUCUAAGAACUUAAAAAUUUUUAAUUUACCUAUUCAAACCAUAUCAUUAUUAUUUGCUUUUAUAUAUAAAUCAGAAAUAACCAAUUUAAAAUGGAAAAUUUUAAAGAAAAAAAAAAUCCCUCCACUAAAUUUUUUGAACCCCCUUAUGGUUCAUCUCCCCAAACUCAAUCCCAGCCUUCCCUUUGUGGUAUGGUACCUUGCAGUACAAUUUCAGAGAGAUCCAUACACUUGAACACAAGUUAUUGUCUGGAAACUAGAAAAAUGCUUGUUUUUAGGACCCUUUUUGGCCCCAAAUUCCUAAACGUUUAGGGCAAUUACCCCCAAACUCAAACCCAGCUUUCCUUUUGUGAUAUGGAACCUUGUAGUACAAUUUCAUAAAGAUCCAUACAUUUACACACAAGUUAUUGUCCUGAAACUAGAAAUAUGCUUCUUUUUUGCCCCUUUUUGGCCCCUAAUUCCUAAAAUAUUGAGGCAAUUACCCCCAAAAUCAAUCCCAGCCUUCCCUUUGUGGUAUGGUACCUUGCAGUACAAUUUCAGAGAGAUCCAUACACUUGAACACAAGUUAUUAUCUGGAAACUAGAAAAAUGCUAUUUUUGGCCCCUUAUUCCAAAACGUUUUGGGCAAUUACCCCCAAACUCAAUUCCAGCUUUCCCUUUGUGAUAUGGAACCUUGUAGUUCAAUUUCAGAAAAAUCCAUAUACUUACACACAAGUUAUUAUCAUGAAACUAGAAAAAUGCUUGUUUUUUGCCCCUUUUUUGGCCCCUAAUUCCUAAAAUUUUGCGGCAAUUACCCUCAAAAUCAAUCCCAGCAUUCCCUUUGUGAUAUGGAACCUUGUGGUACAAUGUCAAGAGAGAUCCAUACACUAACACACAAGUUAUGUCUGGAAGUUACAAAAAUGCUUAUUUUUGGCCCCUUUUUGGCCCCUAAUUCCUUAACUGUUGAUACCAUAACCCCCAAAAUCAAUCCCAACCUUCCUUUUGUGGUAUUGAACCUUAUGGUAAAAUUUCAUGGAGAUCCAUUCACUUAAACUAAAGUUAGAGUGCGAAAACCAAUGUGUCUUCGGACGACGACGACGACGACGACACCAACGUCAUACAA